RNAcentral lists this ribosomal RNA (731 nucleotides) under Apharinodes papageno. RNAcentral's name for it is "eukaryotic LSU rRNA". It matches the Rfam family "Eukaryotic large subunit ribosomal RNA", at positions 670 to 1256 of the family's 3401-position model. Lineage: Eukaryota; Metazoa; Arthropoda; Insecta; Coleoptera; Staphylinidae. The record is from RNAcentral.
GGAGUCUAGCAUGUGACCGAGUUUUUCGGCGUAAAACCCGAAGAGCGUAGUGAAAGCGACUGCCGCAUCGUCGUUAACGCGUCGAUGUGUCUCUUUUGUUUUGCACUAGCAGAGAUGAUGGCGGCUCUAACCGGCUGCUCGCAAUCUCGGGGUGGUCUCGUUUUCGUCGUCUCGGCGUCGAAAGAGCCAUACUCGUAGGUUACACGCUAAGCCCCGAAAGAUGGUGAACUAUGCCUGACAAGGACGAAGUCUGGGGAAACCCUGAUGGAGGUCCGUAACGCUUCUGACGUGCAAAUCGAUCGGCAUAGUCGGGUAUAGGGGCGAAAGACCAAUCGAACCAUCUAGUAGCUGGUUCCUUUCGAAGUUUCCUUCAGGAUAGCUAGACGUGAUUAACAACAAAGAAGAGAGCACCUCGGUGUAUCUCGAAACCGUAGUCACAUGCGGUAAAGCGAAUGAUUAGAAGUAUUGGGGCCGAAACGGCUUCAACUUAUUCUCAAACUUUCAAUGUGUGUGCUCCGCGGGCUUUCGAGAAUCUCCGGUCGUCGUCGCUUCGCGGCUCGGCGGCCGGAACGAAGCCCCGGACAGAUAUAGCACGGUCUAAGUGGGCCAUUUUUGGUAAGCAGAACUGGCGAUGUGGGAUGAACCGAACGACAAGUUAAAGUGCCUAAGCCGACGCUUAUGAGAUACCAAAAAAGGCGUUAGUAACUAAAGACAGCAGGACGGUGGCCAUG